This 77-nucleotide transfer RNA is filed under the name Bacillota bacterium. RNAcentral's name for it is "Firmicutes bacterium (anaerobic digester metagenome) tRNA-Arg". It matches the Rfam family "tRNA". Rfam says of the family: Transfer RNA (tRNA) molecules are approximately 80 nucleotides in length. The record is from RNAcentral. Lineage: Bacteria; Bacillati; Bacillota.
GCGCCCGUAGCGCAGUCGGAUAGAGCGUUUGACUUCGUAUCAAUUAGUCGGGGGUUCGAGUCCCUCCGGGCGCACCA